This 506-nucleotide ribosomal RNA is filed under the name uncultured bacterium. RNAcentral's name for it is "partial 16S ribosomal RNA". It matches the Rfam family "Bacterial small subunit ribosomal RNA", at positions 29 to 523 of the family's 1533-position model. The record is from RNAcentral.
AGUGAACGCUGGCGGUAGGCCUAACACAUGCAAGUCGAACGGCAGCACAGGAAAGCUUGCUCUCUGGGUGGCGAGUGGCGGACGGGUGAGGAAUACAUCGGAAUCUACUCUGUCGUGGGGGAUAACGUAGGGAAACUUACGCUAAUACCGCAUACGACCUACGGGUGAAAGCAGGGGAUCUUCGGACCUUGCGCGAUUGAAUGAGCCGAUGUCGGAUUAGCUAGUUGGCGGGGUAAAGGCCCACCAAGGCGACGAUCCGUAGCUGGUCUGAGAGGAUGAUCAGCCACACUGGAACUGAGAUACGGUCCAGACUCCUACGGGAGGCAGCAGUGGGGAAUAUUGGACAAUGGGCGCAAGCCUGAUCCAGCCAUACCGCGUGGGUGAAGAAGGCCUUCGGGUCGUAAAGCCCUUUUGUUGGGAAAGAAAUCCAGCUGGCUAAUACCCGGUUGGGAUGACGGUACCCAAAGAAUAAGCACCGGCUAACUUCGUGCCAGCCGCCGCCGUAA